UACUAGAGUAGCACUCGCAUAUCAAUAAGCGGAGGAAAAGAAACUAACAAGGAUUCCCCUAGUAACGGCGAGUGAAGCGGGAAGAGCUCAAAUUUGAAAUCUUAAAGGGUUUCCCUUUACGAAUUGUAGUUUAAAGAAGUGUUUUCUGUUGAGGUUUUGGUAAAAGUUCUUUGGAAUAGGACAUCAUAGAGGGUGAGAAUCCCGUAUUUGACCUUUACUUUCAACUUUGUGAUACACUUUCAAAGAGUCGGAUUGUUUGGGAAUGCAGUCCAAAAUGGGUGGUAAAUUUCAUCUAAAGCUAAAUAUUGGCGAGAGACCGAUAGCGAACAAGUACCGUGAGGGAAAGAUGAAAAGAACUUUGAAAAGAGAGUUAAACAGUACGUGAAAUUGUCAAAAGGGAAGCGUUUGACACCAGUGUUGUUUUUCUGAAAAUCAAUUAAAGAACUGUUUAUGCUAAGUUGUUUAGACUUUAUCAGCUAUCUGCUUAGUUUUGAGCUUUCUUUAAUGCACUUUUCAGUUAACAAGUCAACAUCAAUUUCUUUUGCUGUAAAAAAGCUUGAGGAAGGUGGCUUGAGAUUCGUCUUAAGUGUUUAUAGCCUCUUGCCUAUGCAGUCGGAGAGAUUGAGGUCUGCAGCGUAGAUCCUUCGGGGCUAAAUGCAUUUGUGCUAAGUUAUAGCAUUUUAUAGACAACUUGUUGACUAUGAUUUGUCUUGUAGCUUACUCGCUUAUGUUAUUUUACCUACGCUUAGGAUGUUGAAGACUCUACAGAGAUAA
RNAcentral lists this ribosomal RNA (774 nucleotides) under uncultured Neocallimastigales. Its description in RNAcentral is "partial large subunit ribosomal RNA". It matches the Rfam family "Eukaryotic large subunit ribosomal RNA", at positions 20 to 628 of the family's 3401-position model. The record is from RNAcentral. Lineage: Eukaryota; Fungi; Neocallimastigomycota; Neocallimastigomycetes; Neocallimastigales.